This 357-nucleotide long non-coding RNA is filed under the name Triticum aestivum (bread wheat). RNAcentral's name for it is "long non-coding RNA (TAES_LNC026211)". The record is from RNAcentral. Lineage: Eukaryota; Viridiplantae; Streptophyta; Magnoliopsida; Poales; Poaceae.
AUUUUUUGAACGAAUGGAAACAAUUGUAAAUUCUUUAUGAUGAACUGGGUGCUGACUGUCACUGAAGCUAUCUGUUUGGACUAUCAGCCUUGUUUGUCUUGACUGUUUGCAUAGAAUGCAUUACUAACUUAUUACUGGAAGUCUUCAAAUUUCCUCAAAACUUGCCACCGGUGAAGAUGAACUCUGGUUUGUUGGUCAAGAUGAUGUUGCCUGAUGAGUAAGAGAGAAAAACCACUGAUAGUUAACACAAGAGCAGGAAGCAUAAGAGAAGAUACCAUGAUGUUAAUUAUCAACAGCACCAAUCUGCCAUUACCCAACAACAAGUAGGUGGUACAGUUUAAUCGGAGCAAUCUUGAC